Molecule: ribosomal RNA, 372 nt
Filed under: uncultured organism
Description: bacterial SSU rRNA
Rfam family: Bacterial small subunit ribosomal RNA
Source: RNAcentral
CGUGGGAGACGAGCGUUAUCCGGAUUUACUGGGCGUAAAGCGUGUGCAGGCGGUUCGGCAAGUUGGAUGUGAAAUCUCCCGGCUCAACUGGGAGGGGUCGUUCAAUACUACCGAACUUGAGGUCAUCAGAGGAAGGUGGAAUUCCGGGUGUAGUGGUGAAAUGCGUAGAUAUCCGGAGGAACACCAGUGGCGAAGGCGGCCUUCUGGGAUGAUCCUGACGCUCAGACACGAAAGCUAGGGGAGCGAACGGGAUUAGAGACCCCGGUAGUCCUAGCUGUAAACGAUGUAGACUUGGCGUCGGAGGGUUCAAAACCUUCGGUGUCGUAGCUAACGCGAUAAGUCUACCGCCUGGGGACUACGGCCGCAAGGUUA